CAGAGAAUUGAUACAAAAAAUGAUCAUGUGAAGAAUUUGCAUCUUCUGCAGAACUACCGGUAUCAGUCAGCAGUAGAUUGUAUAAAUUCAGCCUGAGAUUCCAGAAUAUUCUGUAUAUUGACCCCCACAGCAAGAAGAAAAAGUCCACGUAGGACUGAAAUCUGUGGUACUUCUGUGGUGGCACUUCUUAGGCAAGUGAGAAGCAGCGACACCGUGACACCUGCACGCCGGAGCCCUGCGUUAGGCUGGGUGAGGGCUGGGACCUGGGCAUCACACAGUCUUAGAUGUGGGCCUGCCUCCAACAGCUCCCUCCUGGGUGUGAUGCUGAAGGGGGUCCUUGACACCUCUGAAGUCUCAGUCUCCUCAAGGUCACACCCAGUUUAUAGGAUUGUGCU
RNAcentral lists this non-coding RNA (395 nucleotides) under Pan troglodytes (chimpanzee). The record is from RNAcentral. Lineage: Eukaryota; Metazoa; Chordata; Mammalia; Primates; Hominidae.